RNAcentral lists this long non-coding RNA (1586 nucleotides) under Androctonus crassicauda. Lineage: Eukaryota; Metazoa; Arthropoda; Arachnida; Scorpiones; Buthidae. The record is from RNAcentral.
GUUUUGGUUAAAAGGUGUAAUGGCACUGAAGAUGGUUUGUUGAAGCUGAGGGUGCUUUGCUUGAAGGAGGAGUGUUUUCACUUUAACUGAGAGCUCGCGUCUGUAUAUGUUAUUAUUUGCAUUGUAUACUUGCCUUCCAAGAUCCUUGAGCUAUGAUUUAUGGCUUUGUGCACCUUAUAUCCCAAUUGUGUAUUGUGGCAUGGUAUCGCUUAUUAUUGUUGUGCCUGGUAGGAUGUAUUCGUAAAUGUGUGCCCAUAACACACGUUUCGAUUUGUUCUGUACUUGUUGUAAUCAGGACAGCGUUAGUUUUUGUUAUACUGAAAUGUUUUCCAAGCGUGUGUAUUAGUCGAUAUCCUGACUGGUUAUUACUUAAGUGCCAAAAAUAGCAAUCUUUCAUCUCCCUACAGUGUGCACCAAAAAUUACUAUGCUGUGCAAUGUUCUUGACAUUCCACAUUCAUACUUUCUCCGGCAAAGAUAUGUCUUAUCUACAUAUCAGCGCAAACUAUAGUAUGUUAGUAAUUAGGGAUGUAGGAAAUAUAUGUGUUUUCUUGCAUCAACCGUCUUUCCAGGACUGCUAGCUUCAUCAGCAUGUUUGACAAAAUGACCUCGCACAUUUCUCUAACAAAACUGCAAAAAUCUACGGUGGUCUGUUGGGCAAUGCCACAUUCAGUCAUGCACUUUGUUACUGUCAAUUUUAUUAUCCAUGCGUGAAUGCUUCUGACAAUCUGCAACACAUACAAAUAUACAAAAUAAGGCUGUUUUGUGCGUGCUUUUCUGGAUUUGUCGGAAAACAGGCAAACUAGUGAGUCGUACUUAUGUGGAGUAUCGGGUCAUUGACAUUUGCAAAAAAUAUAUUGGUGAGCGGUGAUUGGUACCCUGUGCAGCGUAUCCUCUUUUUUCGUUUAGGGGUAUUAUCAUCAGUUUUGUGGACCAUUGUGCGUCGACAUCUGUAAAUGUAGUUGCAUUUUUUGUUAUUGCUUGCUGUUUUGGUCAUUUUAUCUGUAAAUAAAAGUAAUAUCACCCUUGUUGUCUAUUAUGUCAUAGUCAGCUGUAAUCAGUUUGCAUGCUGUGCAUGUUGCCAGUUUGCCCCUUACCUUGGCAUUUUUGACAUUUCACGAUCCUGCCGUCUCCGCAUUUUGGUAUGACGUUCAGAAGUUGUAGGACUGUGACAGUUGCCUCAUUGUUUUUGAAAACCUCCUGGAAUGUGUAUGCUGUUAUGCAUUUAAUGCCAUCCCUCGCUGAUUCAGCAGCUGAGGUUACAUUGGUGCUAUUUGUAUUCUGUGAUGUAUUGGCCACAUUCAAAUUCUGAGUGUAUGCUUUUCCUGUAUGUAUUGUAUUCCUCUGUACUGUUUAACAAAUACCUUCAUGUUCACCCAGUUUGCCCUGUGACUUACCUAUAAUUGCAGACAGGAAUAUACAUACUGCAGAUGUCUUGGGCAAUGGUCUGUGCACUGAUUGGCUAGAAAUCUUUGCGUUGCUGAUUUAUGCAAAAUAGUAGCGGUGGUGGAAGAUAAUGACCAAACAUUGAAAUGUGUGUUUUACGGUUUUAGCCGGUAGCAUGUGGUAGCCUAGUGGUGUAGGGGAC